RNAcentral lists this ribosomal RNA (733 nucleotides) under Lactococcus sp. HXF0059. Its description in RNAcentral is "bacterial SSU rRNA". It matches the Rfam family "Bacterial small subunit ribosomal RNA", at positions 73 to 794 of the family's 1533-position model. The record is from RNAcentral. Lineage: Bacteria; Bacillati; Bacillota; Bacilli; Lactobacillales; Streptococcaceae.
UUGGUACUUGUACCGACUGGAUGAGCAGCGAACGGGUGAGUAACGCGUGGGGAAUCUGCCUUUGAGCGGGGGACAACAUUUGGAAACGAAUGCUAAUACCGCAUAAAAACUUUAAACACAAGUUUUAAGUUUGAAAGAUGCAAUUGCAUCACUCAAAGAUGAUCCCGCGUUGUAUUAGCUAGUUGGUGAGGUAAAGGCUCACCAAGGCGAUGAUACAUAGCCGACCUGAGAGGGUGAUCGGCCACAUUGGGACUGAGACACGGCCCAAACUCCUACGGGAGGCAGCAGUAGGGAAUCUUCGGCAAUGGACGAAAGUCUGACCGAGCAACGCCGCGUGAGUGAAGAAGGUUUUCGGAUCGUAAAACUCUGUUGGUAGAGAAGAACGUUGGUGAGAGUGGAAAGCUCAUCAAGUGACGGUAACUACCCAGAAAGGGACGGCUAACUACGUGCCAGCAGCCGCGGUAAUACGUAGGUCCCGAGCGUUGUCCGGAUUUAUUGGGCGUAAAGCGAGCGCAGGUGGUUUAUUAAGUCUGGUGUAAAAGGCAGUGGCUCAACCAUUGUAUGCAUUGGAAACUGGUAGACUUGAGUGCAGGAGAGGAGAGUGGAAUUCCAUGUGUAGCGGUGAAAUGCGUAGAUAUAUGGAGGAACACCGGUGGCGAAAGCGGCUCUCUGGCCUGUAACUGACACUGAGGCUCGAAAGCGUGGGGAGCAACAGGAUUAGAUACCUGGUAGU